Molecule: non-coding RNA, 182 nt
Organism: Oryza meridionalis
Lineage: Eukaryota; Viridiplantae; Streptophyta; Magnoliopsida; Poales; Poaceae
Source: Rfam
AAAAAUAUAAAUCAUGGGUUUCCGUAUCUAACGUUUGACUGUCCGUCUUAUAUGAAUUUUUUUUAUAAUUAGUAUUUUCAUUGUUGUUAGAUGGUAAAACAUGAUUAAUACUUUAUGCGUGACUUAUCUUUUUACUUUUUUUCAUAAUUUUCUCAAGUAAGACGGACGGUCAAACGUUUAGA